UACGGGGGGGGCGAGCGUUGUUCGGAAUUACUGGGCGUAAAGGGUUUGUAGGUGGCGCCGUAAGUCGGGUGUGAAAUUUCGGAGCUUAACUCCGAAACUGCAUUCGAUACUGCGGUGCUUGAGGACUGGAGAGGAGACUGGAAUUCAUGGUGUAGCAAUGAAAUGCGUAGAGAUCAUGAGGAAGACCAGUGGCGAAGGCGGGUCUCUGGACAGUUCCUGACACUGAGACACGAAGGCCAGGGGAGCAAACGGG
This 253-nucleotide ribosomal RNA is filed under the name uncultured bacterium. RNAcentral describes it as "partial 16S ribosomal RNA". It matches the Rfam family "Bacterial small subunit ribosomal RNA", at positions 524 to 776 of the family's 1533-position model. The record is from RNAcentral.